This 5325-nucleotide unclassified non-coding RNA is filed under the name Rhipicephalus microplus (southern cattle tick). RNAcentral describes it as "nuclear pore complex protein Nup98-Nup96-like, transcript variant X4". Lineage: Eukaryota; Metazoa; Arthropoda; Arachnida; Ixodida; Ixodidae. The record is from RNAcentral.
AAAAUUUUAUGUUGAAGGCAGAUAAAUUUGCCUUGUUGUGUGGUUCUAGUAUUUUCGUAUCACUGGGCUCUGUUUUGCGAUUACGCGAGCGUUCGAGAAUUUGAUGCCCCCAGCGGACUAACGCACGAAGUAGCACUGUAUCGCAUAUUUUACUUGAAUACUCGUUUUACAGCGUUCAUUGGUUAGCCGUGCCGCCCAUGGGGACAUGCUGUUGUGCGCAUGUGUCACGAUAAAAUUUUGUGCCGCAGAGCGUGCGAUCGAGGUCAUCAGACCACAUAAUUCUGGACCAUAGAUAUAAAGGAAGCAGCUUCUCACAGGAAAAAUGUUUGGUAACCAGAACCCUUUCGGGACCACCACGGGAUUUGGCACAGGGGGAACCUUCGGCUCGACGCAGCCAACGGCAUUCGGUCAAACGGGCAGUGCGUUUGGAACCUCUGCCUUUGGUGCCACAACGACACCCAGCACAGGUGGUGGCCUCUUUGGAGGCACAACAACACAGACUGGGAGCCUCUUUGGAAGCACAGGAUCCAGUUUUGGCCAGCCUUCCACGUCUACGACGCCAGGCUUUGGUUUCGGAGCACCUGCAACUGGCUCGUCCAUGUUUGGAACGAUGAACCAGCAGCCGGCAGCGAGCACGGGAAUCUUUGGCGCCUCUUCCUCCUCAUUCGGGCAGCCCCGACCGCAGUUUGGCAGCUCCUUCUCCACCACUACGCCUGCCACUGGCACUAGCCUCUUUGGCCAACCUCAAAGCACAGGCCUGUUUGGCCAAACUGCUGGAAGUUCUCUUUUUGGAUCAACAGCGUUUGGCACUGGCUCUGUGACCACAGGCACCACAAUAAAGUUCAAGCCACCAACGGGCACUGACACAAUGAUGAAGAAUGGCGUCUCCAGCACCAUCAGCACAUCUCACCAGUGCAUCACAUGCAUGAAGGAGUACGAGAACAAGAGCUUAGAGGAGCUGCGCCUGGAGGAUUAUGCUGCCAACAGAAAAGGUGGUGGCCAGGCGGGCAUGGUAGGUUUCGGGGCAACCACUCAAUCGAGCUCCAUCUUCAGCACUCCUGCCACUCAGCAGUCAACGUUCAAUUUUGGUGCCACCCAAAACAAGCCGCUCUUCGGCACUUCCACUACUGGUAGUUUUGCACCUACUGGUGGCUCACUAUUUGGGCAGGCAACAACGCAGAGUCAAAAUGUGUUUGGUAAGCCAACUGGCUUUGGUAUGACAACACCAGCCUCCACCUCUGCUUUUGGAACCAGCACUGCAUUCGGGACCACUGGAACCUCUGUGUUUGGUCAGCCACAGCAAAAGUCCCUGUUUGGCCAGCCAGCAGGCACAACACUCUUUGGGAGCACAACUGCUACAACACAGCCUUCCACAGGAUUCGGCACAGGUUUUGGCACUACGUUUGGUGCUACAACGCAGCCGAGUGCUUUCGGUGUAAGGCCAACAUUUGGUGCAGCCACCACAUCUGCACCUUCCGGCUUUGGAUUUGGCAGCACAGCCAACACAGGGACAUCAUUGUUUGGGGCCAAGCAGCCAUCGCAGUUUUCCUUUGGGGCAACCACGCCAGCGUUUGGGGCAACCAACACAACAGGCUUUGGAACAUCGACUGGCAGCCUCUUUGGUGCAACCAAGACGACGCCAUCCUUUGGCACUGGCAGCACUCCUGCGUUUGGCAGCACGGGCUUUGGCAGCACUCCUGCAUUUGGCACAGCUGGAACAAAUACUACAGGGGGACUGUUUGGUUCAACCACUGCGGCAAAGCCCACAGGCUUCAACUUUGGAGGCACGACUACUACUACACCUUUCACAGGCUUCGGCCAAACAGGUGUUGGGACUGGUUCUACUUUUGGCAGUACUGUACCAACCAUGGGAAGCACGGAUCCAAAUGCAGCAGCGAACCAGCUGCAGCAGCAGCAAACACAGCAGCUGCUCCAAUACCUGUCAACCAAUCCGUAUGGAGACAACCCACUGUUCAGGAAUGUGCUCAAGGAGACCAACAAACGUGAAGAGUUGCUGAAGCCCACCAAUCCAGCAGCGCAGCAGGCGUUGCUCGCCUCUCACUACAAAGUGUCCCCCGUGCCAGCACCCAAGUUACGGCCAAAACCGGUUGGAGCACAGGCAGGCAAGACAUCAUCACUUUUUGAAGGGCUAGAAGAUGAAGAAGACAUCAUUGAGCCAUUUACUCCUCGCCAAAGUGUCAAGACACUGAUAAUCAAACCAAAGGACACUCCGGACAAGCUUAGUGCCAGCACUCUCUUAGCUUCCCCACCACUUGCAACCAACCGUUCGUCCACACCGAUCACUCAGUCAUCCAGUAGUCCAUCCUCUAGGACUCCGUUGGCUGUUCCUGCUAAGGACAGUGGUCUUGUGGACGGCGCGAGUGUCUACCUGGCCAGCAGUGAGCCUAGCUUCACAGCACCAACAGUGCAGGUUGAAAAACCUGUAAGCAAUCUGCAAAGCUUGGAUGAUGCAGUGUCAUCCCUUGAGGUUCGUGGCCGCAAGUUGCGCUUCAUGUCCAGCUCGGAAUCCCUGGACGACUCUUCUCAGGCUGAUCCAGCACCUGACCCUGCGAAACCCCCCCAUCCUGCAGGCAUUGUGCUCACUCGGCCAGGGUACUUCACCGUUCCUUCUAUGGACGAGUUAGCAUCUAUGGUGGGCCCUGACGGGCACUGCAUCGUGGAAAAUUUUUGUGUGGCACGGGAGGGCUAUGGCAAUGUCUACUUUUCUGGCCGCAUGGACGUUGCACGACUCAACCUUGAUGAAAUUGUGCACUUUCGUCGCAUGGAGAUCACAGUGUACCCUGAUGAUGACGAAAAGCCACCUGUGGGCGAAGGCCUGAACCGUAAAGCACAGGUUACUCUCGACAAAGUGUGGCCAAUCAACAAAGUCACUCGAGAAUCAAUCACAGAUCCGGAGAAGCUCAAGGCACUUGGUUAUCAAGAAAAAUUGGAGAGGACCACUGCCAAAAUUGGGGGUCGUUUUCUGGAGUACAGGCCGGAGACAGGUUCUUGGGUUUUCGAGGUGAAGCACUUUUCCAAAUAUGGUUUGGACGAAUCUGACAACGAAGUUGAUGAGGCCGCUACCCAGACAGCUACGUCAGCAAAGUUGCCACAGCAAGCAGCUGCCACAAAACCUGCUGAUGGUGCUGUAGACAAAAUCACUCAGAAACCUCCAUCGGCGCCUGGAUCCUCUGCUACUUUCAUGGCCUGCCGAGAAUCUGACACUGCAGCGGGAUAUCGUUCUGAUGAUGAUGAUAUGGAGGACAUGGAGCCGUCAUCUGCUGGAACAGCAGACAGGCCUGGCAGUGAUGACGCACUAUCACCUGGGGCUGAUGCUGCAAGCUACAGGCCAGUGACUCAGCAGCUAGCAGAAGCACUUGGCCUGAGUCCAGACGCAGUGCAGAGCAUGAAGGAGUCCUUCUUCGGCCGAGAAGAUGAGGACGAUGAUGAUCACGAGCUAGCCAUCACUCAUCCACGCCUUCAGAGAGCUCUGGUGAGCGGUGGUUCCUACCAGAGCCCCAUUCACUUCGAUCGUACCAGAUCGUUGUCGUCCACGCCCACACAAUCCAGAGCAUCCCGUUGUCGUGCUGCUGCGGCUGCCUAUUCCCAACCAAAUGUGAGCCAGGCCUUCUCAGAGUUCCUCCCUUCUCACGUCCUUUCUGGUGCCGCUCCACUGCCAGGAGAUGCAAGCCAGUGCCCCACAGGCAUUGUGAGAACAGCUCACAGUGACGUCCUCACAUCUGCGUUCAGCAGUCCAGGCUGUGUGCCAGCUGCUGAGCAGAUGCUUCGGAAUCGCACACUUGCAGAGCCCAUGGUGAUUCCCAUCGACGUGGAACCUGUGCCCCUGGCUCAAUCUUUGUCCUACGAGUGCCAGCAUAUGCUGGCGGAUGCCGCUUGCGUGGCUGGCUAUCGUGCUCGGUGUGGCUGGGGACCACGUUGGACGCUGACUCACGUGGGCAAAGCAUUAAACAGAAUUCUCGAUGAUGAACCCAUGGAGACGGCAGGGCACGUGGGCAUUUUUGCGGGACAGCGCUAUCCGAAGCCAUCCCCUUCAUUUUCCAUCUCCGUGGAAAGAGUGGCUGUUGACUUGCACACAUUGAGACCAGAUGAUAUUCAAAAGAAAAACGUGGUAGCCAUGUUGGAAAUCCAACUGGUACAUUCGUGCUGUUCACUGGAAGGGGGCAGCCCUAUCUUUGCACCGAACCCUAGUGUGGACUGCUUGCAUGACCAGGAUGCCCUUGUUGCAAGGCUUGCAACUGAAAUGGGUCCUGGUCAUGCCGACGCUGCCAUGAUGCGGCAGUUUCACACCAUUCUUGGUCUCUGUGUUGCCCUGUGGGGUCGCGCACCUGGUUGCGACCCUGAAAGUGACGACGUCACCAGGUACUCCUAUGCAAAGCGUCGCAAGGAGGCACUCUCAGACUGGCUUGUGGAUACUACGAAAUCUAUCAUUGAAGCUGAAAUAACAGACCAUCAGAGAAAAGAGGACAGCGAACUGCUGGUGAUGCUGAGCUAUCUGAGUGGUCGUGACAUGUCCAAGGCGUGUGCAGUGGCUCAACGGUCUCGAGACUACCGUUUGUGUCUGUUGCUGGCUCAAAAUGGUUCCAACCCAGUCAGCCGCCACAUGCUGCAGAAACAACUGGACCACUGGAAGAAGUUCAAGCAAGAUCGAUACAUCAAUCCAGAACGACUCCGGGUCUAUGCCCUAUUGGCUGGACUGAUGGUUUGGCCAACUUCAGACCCAGAUGAAACAAUUAACUGCUGUGCUGACCUCGACUGGAAAAGGGCUCUGGCACUACAUCUUUGGUACUACUGUGCUCCAACAUGCAAUAUCAGCGAUGCUGUGGCUGCAUAUGAAGCUGCGUUUGAGAGUGACCAACCACUGCGGCCCUACUGCGCGGCCCCCAUACCCGCCUUGUCAUAAAGAUGAUGUAGGUGAGGAGCCGUAUGUGUUGGACCCUGAAGCACCGUUGGACACAUGCUUUCUGCUACUGAAGCUGUACUGUGAUCAGUCCCAGAGGUUGGACCGGCUGCUGGCCCCAGUGUCCUCUGUGUCUUCUCAACUGGACUUCAGGAUUAGCUGGCUGCUGCACAAGCUGCUGCAGUCCUUUGGCUUUGGCCAUCUGUCCGCAACUGCAGCCGAGACCUUGCACACAAGCUUUGCAGCACAGCUCGAGUCGUGGGGCCUGUGGCCUUGGGCAGUAUUUGCUCUGCUGCACUUGGAGGAUGCCACGGGGCGCCAAAAAGCCGUCACUGAGCUUCUUGUGCGACACGCGUCAGGUUCACUCAGGGGCUCUGAUCCUGAGACUGGCCUCACCGAAGAUGAGA